This 594-nucleotide ribosomal RNA is filed under the name uncultured Bacteroidota bacterium. RNAcentral describes it as "bacterial SSU rRNA". It matches the Rfam family "Bacterial small subunit ribosomal RNA", at positions 122 to 715 of the family's 1533-position model. The record is from RNAcentral. Lineage: Bacteria; Pseudomonadati; Bacteroidota.
CAACCUACCUAUCAGAGGGGAAUAACCCGGCGAAAGUCGGACUAAUACCGCAUAAAACAGGGGCACCGCAUGGUGAUAUUUGUUAAAGAAAUUCGCUGAUAGAUGGGCAUGCGUUCCAUUAGGUAGUUGGUGAGGUAACGGCUCACCAAGCCGACGAUGGAUAGGGGAACUGAGAGGUUGGUCCCCCACACUGGUACUGAGACACGGACCAGACUCCUACGGGAGGCAGCAGUGAGGAAUAUUGGUAAUGGGCGGGAGCCUGAACCAGCCAAGUCGCGUGAAGGAAGAAGGAUCUAUGGUUCGUAAACUUCUUUUGCAGGGGAAUAAAGUGCAGGACGUGUCCUGUUUUGUAUGUACCCUGAGAAUAAGGAUCGGCUAACUCCGUGCCAGCAGCUGCGGUAAUACGGAGGAUCCGAGCGUUAUCCGGAUUUAUUGGGUUUAAAGGGAGCGUAGGUUGACAUAUAAGUCAGCUGUGAAAGUUUACGGCUCAACCGUGAAAUUGCAGUUGAUACUGUAUGUCUUGAGUGUACAAGAGGUGGGCGGAAUUCGUGGUGUAGCGGUGAAAUGCUUAGAUAUCACGAAGAACUCCGAUUG